AAGCUCUCUGGGCUCACUCCUACAUUCUCUGAACACCAGACUGCCCUGCACUUCUGAGGCUUGAUCUGUGAUGCCGGGAGAGAUGGGACGCUGCCAGAAGGGGCUACUGGCAGGCUGCCAAGAGGCUGCCCACAGAGGCCUUUGCCCUGACAAAUUCACCCCUGGGGCCCUGGGUCUGCCCUCCGCCUGGCAGCUGGUGGAGAGGCGAGCCAGGUCCCAGCUGUGGACUCAGACGAAUCAAUUGCUCAGGAGGCCAAUAUAUACACCAGGUGAGUUGGCUGACUCAUUAGGCACUUCCCACAAUCCAGUUCCUUCAUCCCCCUGCCGCCCCUGCCACAAGCUUCCUGCAGGAGUCUGGAGGACCUCAAAUAUUUCCAAGGAGGCCAGACUUUGGGAGGCUGAGGACUUCACGGCCCGAGGGGAGAGCAAGCCGUCCGGCCGCUGAGACCCACUCAGACCACGAACAGGGCAGGUGCUCAGAGGGCUCGCCCUCCCAUCCACCCCAAACUGGCUGUUG
Molecule: long non-coding RNA, 517 nt
Filed under: Pan troglodytes (chimpanzee)
Lineage: Eukaryota; Metazoa; Chordata; Mammalia; Primates; Hominidae
Description: long non-coding RNA NONPTRT005777
Source: RNAcentral